AACGAACGCUGGCGGCAUGCCUAACACAUGCAAGUCGAACGAGACCUUCGGGUCUAGUGGCGCACGGGUGCGUAACGCGUGGGAACCUGCCCUUAGGUUCGGAAUAACUCCCCGAAAGGGGUGCUAAUACCGGUUAAUGUCUUCGGACCAAAGAUUUAUCGCCUUUGGAUGGGCCCGCGUUGGAUUCGCUGGUUGGUAGGGUAAAAGCCUACCAAGGCGACGAUCCAUAGCUGGUCUGAGAGGAUGAUCAGCCACACUGGGACUGAGACACGGCCCAGACUCCUACGGGAGGCAGCAGUGGAGAAUAUUGGAGGAGGGGCGAAAGCCUGAUCCAGCAAUGCCGCGUGAGUGAUGAAGGCCUUAGGGUUGUAAAGCUCUCUUACCCGGGAUGAUAAUGACAGUACCGGGAGAAUAAGCACCGGCUAACUACGUG
Molecule: ribosomal RNA, 433 nt
Filed under: uncultured bacterium
Lineage: Bacteria
Description: partial 16S ribosomal RNA
Rfam family: Bacterial small subunit ribosomal RNA
Source: RNAcentral